Molecule: ribosomal RNA, 731 nt
Filed under: uncultured bacterium
Lineage: Bacteria
Description: bacterial SSU rRNA
Rfam family: Bacterial small subunit ribosomal RNA
Source: RNAcentral
AUUGAACGCUGGCGGCAUGCCUUACACAUGCAAGUCGAACGGUAACGCGGGGCAACCUGGCGACGAGUGGCGAACGGGUGAGUAACGCAUCGGAACGUGCCCAGUAGUGGGGGAUAGCCCGGCGAAAGCCGGAUUAAUACCGCAUACGACCUGAGGGUGAAAGCGGGGGAUCGCAAGACCUCGCGCUAUUGGAGCGGCCGAUGUCAGAUUAGGUAGUUGGUGAGGUAAAGGCUCACCAAGCCUUCGAUCUGUAGCUGGUCUGAGAGGACGACCAGCCACACUGGGACUGAGACACGGCCCAGACUCCUACGGGAGGCAGCAGUGGGGAAUUUUGGACAAUGGGCGCAAGCCUGAUCCAGCCAUGCCGCGUGCGGGAAGAAGGCCUUCGGGUUGUAAACCGCUUUUGUCAGGGAAGAAACGCUCUGGGCUAAUACCCCGGGGUAAUGACGGUACCUGAAGAAUAAGCACCGGCUAACUACGUGCCAGCAGCCGCGGUAAUACGUAGGGUGCAAGCGUUAAUCGGAAUUACUGGGCGUAAAGCGUGCGCAGGCGGUUAUGCAAAACAGAUGUGAAAUCCCCGGGCUUAACCUGGGAACUGCAUUUGUGACUGCAUGGCUAGAGUGCGGCAGAGGGGGAUGGAAUUCCGCGUGUAGCAGUGAAAUGCGUAGAUAUGCGGAGGAACACCGAUGGCGAAGGCAAUCCCCUGGGCCUGCACUGACGCUCAUGCACGA